CCCUUAGAUGUUCUGCGCCGCACGCGUGCUACACUGAGUGGAUCAGCGGGUCAGGUUGCGCGAAAGCGUUUCCUAAUCUUUAAAUCCGCUCGUGAUGGGGAUUGACGGUUGCAAUUUUCUGUCAUGAACGAGGAAUACCUUGUAAGCGCGGGUCAUCAUCCCGCGCUGAAUACGUCCCUGCCCUUUGUACACACCGCCCGUCGCUCCUACCGAUUGAGUGGUCCGGUGAGGCUUUGGGAUCUGAGCGGAAAGAGCGUUUCGCUGUUUCUGCUCGGAAAACUCAGUCGAACCUUAUCAUUUAGAGGAAGGAGAAGUCGUAACA
Molecule: ribosomal RNA, 322 nt
Filed under: uncultured eukaryote
Lineage: Eukaryota
Description: partial 18S ribosomal RNA
Rfam family: Eukaryotic small subunit ribosomal RNA
Source: RNAcentral